Molecule: ribosomal RNA, 245 nt
Filed under: uncultured bacterium
Lineage: Bacteria
Description: partial 16S ribosomal RNA
Rfam family: Bacterial small subunit ribosomal RNA
Source: RNAcentral
UACGUAGGGUGCGAGCGUUAAUCGGAAUUACUGGGCGUAAAGCGUGCGCAGGCGGUUUCUUAAGCCAGACGUGAAAUCCCCGGGCUUAACCUGGGAACUGCGUUUGGAACUGGGAGACUAGAGUGUGUCAGAGGGAGGUGGAAUUCCACGUGUAGCAGUGAAAUGCGUAGAGAUGUGGAGGAACACCGAUGGCGAAGGCAGCCUCCUGGGAUAACACUGACGCUCAUGCACGAAAGCGUGGGGAG